GGCAAUGUAGCUCAGUUGGUCAGAGCAUGCGGCUCAUAUCCGCAGUGUCCGGGGUUCAAAUCCCUGCAUUGCCACCA
Molecule: transfer RNA, 77 nt
Filed under: Desulfobacterales bacterium
Lineage: Bacteria; Pseudomonadati; Thermodesulfobacteriota; Desulfobacteria; Desulfobacterales
Also listed under: 1 other name
Description: tRNA-Met
Rfam family: tRNA
About the family: Transfer RNA (tRNA) molecules are approximately 80 nucleotides in length. Their secondary structure includes four short double-helical elements and three loops (D, anti-codon, and T loops).
Source: RNAcentral